ACCAAGAAAACCCAAGGUAAGAUCAGAGUCAGACAUGACUAAAAAGGUUGAAUAACAAAAAAUUUGAAGCCUUAAACUUGGAUUUUAAAACAUUAAUUUUGCAAGUACAAGAAAUAGAACACUAAGGAGUACCCAUUGAAGACAAUCAAGAGAAUGGAGUAUCAUGUGCAAGAGAUAGCAAAGCCAGUGCCACUGAAUGAAUCAGAGUAUAUGGAGGAGAAUAAAGUGAAAGAUCAGUGAGAAAAGAAAGGGUGAAGUUGUGGGAGUUUUUACAUACUACACAGCACUUUUAUGCUUGAUUCUGCAAAUUAUAGGGAACCACUGGUGCCUAAUGAGUAAGGAGGUUACAUGUAAGAUCUAUACUUUAGGGAAGUCACUUGGGCAGCUGUAUAGAGAAAGAACAGCACAGAGAAAUUUGAUGCAGGAAGAUCAACCAGAAAGCUGUUGUAGUCCAGAUGAGAGGUGAUAAACUCUAUACCAGUUUGGUGGCCAUGUAGACAGAAGGAGAGUGUACACAAGAUUUGUGAAGGUGGAAAGAGCUAGGUUUGGCAACAGAUUGAAUUUAUAAAGUGAGUGCAAGAGAGAAGUUGAGAUUGUAAAUUUUAAUGACUGGGAAAAUGGCGGUGUCCUGUAUUGCAUUACAGAGGGAAUUUGGAAGACACAAGGGUUGGGAAGCAGAGCCAGCAAGUUCUGGUUUGGACAUUUUGAAUUUGAGAUGCCUGCGGAACAUUUAGCUCAAGAUACCCAAGAGAGGAUUGAUGAAAAAUGAGACUGGAGCUCGGGAGAGAGGGUCUUACAAGAUAUUGAAAAGUUGGAAGAGCCAUCUAAGAUCCAGUGGUUAAAGGUAAAAGAUUAUCUAGAGACGGAAUAGACCAGCUUAUGAUAGUGUAAGUUUUGAAAGUUGGAAGAAUCAACAAAUAUGCACUGAAUCCAACGAUGAGCCAGUCUUGAGGAGAAAGUUGUUUGAUUCCACCCAGCAGUGAAUCCACCAAGGAAGAUGAGACACUAUCCUGUAAGCCAUGGUGAUAAUGAUUCGUGAUUCAUCCAUUGUCCAUACCAUACCCAGAAGUUAAUUUGGAGGAUACUCCUUUAGGAAGAAAGGACUCCAAAGACCAUCAGUCACAUUUAUUCCUUCCAUAUAAGUUUCACUAUAUUUUGCAAAGCCACUAGCAAUGGACAUGUUUCACUUGAUGGCCACAGCUGUCUUUCUGAAUCUCAUGGAUGAAGAUACCUGGUAUGUUGGUGGAACCCAGUAGCACUUCAACAUUAUUCACCUCUGUUUUGGUCAUAUCUGUAACUGUGUCUUCAACUUGCUCUCUAGAAUACUGACCCCAAAACACUUACCAAGGUGGAAAAUCUAAUUUCUGAGAUGGAAAGACUACAAAUCACCCAAAUCUCCCCUGAUCUUUAAGAAUUGACUUCAAUAUAUGGCUAUGCAAAGAAAUAAAAACCAAACUAUUACUGAUCUAAGGAGCUUAUAUUUAUUUGAUAAGACAAAGAAGAAAUUUAAGGGUUUCUUUUUGGUAGAUAAUCUUCAGGAAAAAUCACUUUUAAAGCUUUUCCUCCUGGAAAGAUCAUCAUGAGCCAAACCAAACAUUUUC
Molecule: long non-coding RNA, 1601 nt
Organism: Sarcophilus harrisii (Tasmanian devil)
Lineage: Eukaryota; Metazoa; Chordata; Mammalia; Dasyuromorphia; Dasyuridae
Exons: 3
Source: RefSeq, a predicted model, not a curated record